AUAUGGGGGGACCAUCCUCCAAGGCUAAAUACUCCUGACUGACCGAUAGUGAACCAGUACCGUGAGGGAAAGGCGAAAAGAACCCCGGCGAGGGGAGUGAAAAAGAACCUGAAACCGUGUACGUACAAGCAGUGGGAGCACGCUUAGGCGUGUGACUGCGUACCUUUUGUAUAAUGGGUCAGCGACUUAUAUUCUGUAGCAAGGUUAACCGAAUAGGGGAGCCGAAGGGAAACCGAGUCUUAACUGGGCGUUAAGUUGCAGGGUAUAGACCCGAAACCCGGUGAUCUAGCCAUGGGCAGGUUGAAGGUUGGGUAACACUAACUGGAGGACCGAACCGACUAAUGUUGAAAAAUUAGCGGAUGACUUGUGGCUGGGGGUGAAAGGCCAAUCAAACCGGGAGAUAGCUGGUUCUCCCCGAAAGCUAUUUAGGUAGCGCCUCGUGAAUUCAUCUCCGGGGGUAGAGCACUGUUUCGGCA
Molecule: ribosomal RNA, 476 nt
Filed under: Shigella sonnei
Lineage: Bacteria; Pseudomonadati; Pseudomonadota; Gammaproteobacteria; Enterobacterales; Enterobacteriaceae
Description: partial 23S ribosomal RNA
Rfam family: Bacterial large subunit ribosomal RNA
Source: RNAcentral